Molecule: ribosomal RNA, 252 nt
Filed under: uncultured bacterium
Lineage: Bacteria
Description: partial 16S ribosomal RNA
Rfam family: Bacterial small subunit ribosomal RNA
Source: RNAcentral
UACGUAGGCAGCGAGCGUUGUUCGGAAUUACUGGGCGUAAAGAGUGUGUAGGCGGUGCUCUAAGUUCGGUGUGAAAUCUCCUGCUUAACUGGGAGGGUGCGCCGGAAACUGGAGUGCUUGAGCGUGGGAGAGGAAAGCGGAAUUCCUGGUGUAGCGGUGAAAUGCGUAGAUAUCAGGAGGAACACCUGUGGUGUAGACGGCUUUCUGGACCAUAGCUGACGCUGAGACACGAAAGCGUGGGUAGCAAACAGG